This 253-nucleotide ribosomal RNA is filed under the name uncultured bacterium. RNAcentral's name for it is "partial 16S ribosomal RNA". It matches the Rfam family "Bacterial small subunit ribosomal RNA", at positions 524 to 776 of the family's 1533-position model. The record is from RNAcentral.
GACGUAGGGGGCGAGCGUUGUCCGGAUUUACUGGGCGUAAAGGGCGCGCAGGCGGCCAUUUUUGUCAGGCGUGAAAGCCCCGGGCUCAACCUGGGAGGUGCGCUUGGGACGGGAUGGCUAGAGAUCGGGAGAGGAGAGUGGAAUUCCCAGUGUAGAGGUGAAAUUCGUAGAUAUUGGGAAGAACAUCAAUGGCGAAGGCAGCUUGCUGGGCUACUCCUGACACUGAGGUACGAAAGCGUGGGGAGCGAACAGG